UGAACGCUGGCGGCAGGCCUCAUACAUGCAAGUUGAACGAGAAAGUAUCUUCGGAUGCGAGUACAGUGGCGGACGGGUGAGUAAUACAUAGGAAUCUACCCAAUGGAGGGGGAUAGCUCGAGGAAACUCGAAUUAAUACCGCAUAAUCUCCACGGAGUAAAGAGGGCUUCGGCUCUCGCCAUCGGAUGAGCCUAUGCAAGAUUAGCUUGUUGGUAAGGUAAUGGCUUACCAAGGCUACGAUCUUUAGUUGGUUUGAGAGGACGACCAGCCACAUCGGGACUGAGACACGGCCCGGACUUCUACGGAAGGCAGCAGUAGGGAAUAUUGGACAAUGAGCGAAAGCUUGAUCCAGCCAUGCCGCGUGUGCGAUGAAGACCUUAGGGUUGUAAAGCACUUUAGGUUAUGAGAAAAGAUUUGGUAUUAAUACCACCAAAUUUUGAUGUUAAUUUCAGAAUAAGCACCGGCUAA
This 468-nucleotide ribosomal RNA is filed under the name uncultured Pseudomonadota bacterium. RNAcentral describes it as "bacterial SSU rRNA". It matches the Rfam family "Bacterial small subunit ribosomal RNA", at positions 30 to 500 of the family's 1533-position model. The record is from RNAcentral. Lineage: Bacteria; Pseudomonadati; Pseudomonadota.